UGGGGAAUAUUGCACAAUGGGCGCAAGCCUGAUGCAGCCAUGCCGCGUGUGUGAAGAAGGCCUUCGGGUUGUAAAGCACUUUCAGCGGGGAGGAAGGCGGUGAGGUUAAUAACCUCAUCGAUUGACGUUACCCGCAGAAGAAGCACCGGCUAACUCCGUGCCAGCAGCCGCGGUAAUACGGAGGGUGCAAGCGUUAAUCGGAAUUACUGGGCGUAAAGCGCACGCAGGCGGUUUGUUAAGUCAGAUGUGAAAUCCCCGGGCUCAACCUGGGAACUGCAUCUGAUACUGGGAAGCUUGAGUCUCGUAGAGGGGGGUAGAAUUCCAUGUGUAGCGGUGAAAUGCGUAGAGAUGUGGAGGAAUACCGGUGGCGAAGGCGGCCACCUGGACAAAGACUGACGCUCAGGUGCGAAAGCGUGGGGAGCAAACAGG
Molecule: ribosomal RNA, 429 nt
Filed under: Chloroflexota bacterium
Lineage: Bacteria; Bacillati; Chloroflexota
Description: Chloroflexi bacterium partial 16S ribosomal RNA
Rfam family: Bacterial small subunit ribosomal RNA
Source: RNAcentral